This 376-nucleotide unclassified non-coding RNA is filed under the name uncultured bacterium. Its description in RNAcentral is "contains 16S-23S intergenic spacer region". The record is from RNAcentral.
UCGCGGCUUAUCACCGGCAGUCCCCUUAGAGUGCCCAACUAAAUGAUGGCAACUAAAGACGAGGGUUGCGCUCGUUGCGGGACUUAACCCAACAUCUCACGACACGAGCUGACGACAACCAUGCACCACCUGUACGCAGCCCUUGCGGACCCGACAUCUCUGCCGGAUUUCUGCGUAUGUCAAGCCUUGGUAAGGUUCUUCGCGUUUCGUCGAAUUAAACCACAUGCUCCGCUGCUUGUGCGGGUCCCCGUCAAUUCCUUUGAGUUUUAGCCUUGCGGCCGUACUCCCCAGGCGAAUCACUUAACGCGUUAGCUACGACACUGAUCCAGCUAAGCCGAACCAACAUCUAGUGAUUAUCGUUUACGGCGUGGACUAC